RNAcentral lists this ribosomal RNA (468 nucleotides) under uncultured bacterium. Its description in RNAcentral is "partial 16S ribosomal RNA". It matches the Rfam family "Bacterial small subunit ribosomal RNA", at positions 28 to 507 of the family's 1533-position model. The record is from RNAcentral.
GACGAACGCUGGCGGCGUGCUUAACACAUGCAAGUCGAACGGAAAGGCCCUGCUUUUGUGGGGUGCUCGAGUGGCGAACGGGUGAGUAACACGUGAGUAACCUGCCCUUGACUUUGGGAUAACUUCAGGAAACUGGGGCUAAUACCGGAUAGGAGCUCCUGCUGCAUGGUGGGGGUUGGAACGUUUCGGCGGUUGGGGAUGGACUCGCGGCUUAUCAGCUUGUUGGUGGGGUAGUGGCUUACCAAGGCUUUGACGGGUAGCCGGCCUGGGAGGGUGACCGGCCACAUUGGGACUGAGAUACGGCCCAGACGCCUACGGGAGGCAGCAGUGGGGAAUAUUGCACAAUGGGCGGAAGCCUGAUGCAGCAACGCCGCGUGCGGGAUGACGGCCUUCGGGUUGUAAACCGCUUUCGCCUGUGACGAAGCGUGAGUGACGGUAAUGGGUAAAGAAGCACCGGCUAACUACGUG